UGCCAGCCGCCGCGGUAACACGGGGGGCGCAAGCGUUAUUCGGAAUUACUGGGCGUAAAGCGAGUGUAGGCGGUCCGUCAAGUCGAUUGUGAAAUCUCCCGGCUCAACUGGGAGGGUGCGGUCGAAACUGACGGACUAGAGUUCGGGAGAGGAGAGUGGAAUUCCUGGUGUAGCGGUGAAAUGCGUAGAUAUCAGGAGGAACACCGGUGGUGAAGACGGCUCUCUGGACCGAUACUGACGCUGAGAUGCGAAAGCGUGGGGAGCGAACAGGAUUAGAUA
Molecule: ribosomal RNA, 279 nt
Filed under: uncultured bacterium
Lineage: Bacteria
Description: partial 16S ribosomal RNA
Rfam family: Bacterial small subunit ribosomal RNA
Source: RNAcentral